ACGGGAGGCAGCAGUGAGGAAUAUUGGUCAAUGGAGGCAACUCUGAACCAGCCAUCUCGCGUGAAGGAAUACGGCCCUACGGGUCUUAAACUUCUUUUAUAGGGGGAUAAAGUGAGCCACGUGUGGCUUUUUGUAGGUACCCUAUGAAUAAGCAUCGGCUAACUCCGUGCCAGCAGCCGCGGUAAUACGGAGGAUGCGAGCGUUAUCCGGAUUUAUUGGGUUUAAAGGGUGCGCAGGCGGGACACUAAGUCGGCGGUGAAAUCUCAUGGCCCAACCAUGAAACUGCCAUCGAUACUGGUGACCUUGAGUACGAAUGAGGAAGGCGGAAUGAGUCGUGUAGCGGUGAAAUGCUUAGAUAUGACUCAGAACACCAAUUGCGAAGGCAGCUUUCCAAAACGCAACUGACGCUCAUGCACGAAAGCGUGGGUAGCGAACAGGAUUAGAUACCCUGGUA
This 454-nucleotide ribosomal RNA is filed under the name uncultured Petrimonas sp. Its description in RNAcentral is "partial 16S ribosomal RNA". It matches the Rfam family "Bacterial small subunit ribosomal RNA", at positions 341 to 792 of the family's 1533-position model. The record is from RNAcentral. Lineage: Bacteria; Pseudomonadati; Bacteroidota; Bacteroidia; Bacteroidales; Dysgonomonadaceae.